Molecule: long non-coding RNA, 2862 nt
Organism: Grus americana (Whooping crane)
Lineage: Eukaryota; Metazoa; Chordata; Aves; Gruiformes; Gruidae
Exons: 3
Source: RefSeq, a predicted model, not a curated record
CCCGCGGUGGCCGGCGCGGGCCUCGGCGCUCAAGAGGGCGGGAGCGGCCCGGGGAAGCGCGGAGCCUCGGAGCGGCGGUGGACGGGAGCCGCAACGCCGCGACGAGGUGUCGGGGUGCCGGAGGGGACGGAGUCACCACCCCGGCGGUCGCUUCGUGGCUCUGCAGCCGCCGGGGCGGGAGCGAGAUCCGCGCUGCUCCCGCUCGCUGCAGCAGCGUGAGGGAGGCGCAGCCGGGAGCUAGUGCUCUGCCACCGAAAACAACAACAACAAAACCUUCUUGGCGAUUUUAUUUUUUUAAAGAUAGCAGUGGUUUUUUAAGGUAGCUGAGUUGGCAGAGUUGAGAUUUGUACCUGGUGCUGAUCAGAGUCUGUCGUGACUUCUGAUACUCACCCCACCCCACAGGCACCCAUCUGUACUUUCUGGAGAAGGCCCCUGGCACUACACCAGUACAGUAACAGAGACAUCCCAUAUACUUAACCGUUUGUCAAAGUCAACAUUUGCAAAAGUUGUUACACUUGAGUUUCACCAGUGUGAGCUUUGAAACCAAAUCAAGAUGGGAUCCCAAGUCACUGAGUCAUUCUGUGUCUUACUGACAAGGUCAUCAGACAUGGGCUCCUCCGGGAUUUUCACCUGGGUUUUUUUUCUACUGCAGAGGUGCUCCAACUGGAAGAGGUUGCUGCAUUGUCAGGAAUGACUUCCACCCUUGGAAAUUUUCAUAAGCAAAUUCACUGGUCAUGAGAAAAUUUCUAUUGGGGGGAUUUUCCUUUCUGAAUUCUGUCAUUAGUGUUUAAGUUCUGUCUUAAUAAGGGGAAAAUAUAUAUAUCAACAAUUUUUUAGUUUAAAAAUAAACAAACAAUAAUCUUAUUGUAGUUUUGUAGCUAGUGCCCAGCUAUGUCUGGAUUGUUUUUGCAUCCUACCAACUCCCUAGCAGAGCAAACUGGAAGACAGACAUCAGGUCUGGUUUCUGCUGGCAACAAGUUAGUUUGGUGGGAUUGAAAUGUUCUGUUUUAAUUCUGCUACCUUAGCUGCAGCUACAAAGUUGAUGAAGAAAUAAUGCCUUCUGGAAUUAAAGACUGGUUUUGACUAGACAGCAAAUCUUAAAGAUGAUCUUUUGUCUCCUUAUUCCCACAGGGUAACGCUGGUUAAACCUUCAAACGGAAAACUAAGAUUCCUCUCCACAAACAGGGUUCUCUGGGGCCAUCUUCUUUGAAGUGGUGCAAACCAUUGUAGAGGGGAAAUAAUGCCUGGGAUGCAUAAGCGGAGGAGCCGAAAUCACGUCUAGCCCUUACAUAAGCUUGUAUAUUGGCUUUAGGGUUGUUUUGUGCCAGCAGUGCUUCCAUGAGGAUGGAAAAAGUGGAGCAGAAAAUUGCUUUGCCCAAAGCCACACACUGGCAGUAAUUGAACUAGUGGACAGCGUUGGUUUAAAUAGAAAGUGUGCAAUGCAUUCAUACUACUCAGGCUAUUCUAACUGCUGUUUCUUUUUCUUGUCCACAUAUACCAUUUACUUUUCAACUGUAGUUGCACAGCAUUUCUGGUAUCAGAGUCUUGUAGAGAUUCCCAAAUUUUAAGUUGCUUUCAAGGAACCUCAGGAAAAUAAGAAGGAAUAGGAGAUACCAAAUUGAGUAAAUUCUUAAGAAAGAGUCUUAAAUUUUGGGUGCAGUUUUCCCAAGAAAGAGAUUAAGGAGGCACCUCUGAUUUCUGUUCUCAUCCAGCAAUUGUGACCCUGAUUUCUAAUAUGAAGAGGCUGGUGGAUCUCAUGGAGAGUCCAGCCUCGCUGUGCUGUGCGAUGCACUAAACAUAGCAAUAGUCAUUGUUUUGCUCAAUGUACAGACUUAAAUAGUGACACACUGAAAAAACUCAGUACCCAUUUAUUAGAUGAGAAUUGAGACCCAAAGAAGUUAAGAAAUAAAGCCAGUCACAUAGGGGUUUGGUGGCAGACCUCCGGUAAUGCCUGUGGAUUUCUGGAGCCUGCCCUAGCCUUCUGGCAUGCUGCCACCCCAGCUUCAGAAGAGAGAUGUAAUUUGUUUGAAGGAGACCAUAUAGCAAAGAGGAGAAUGUUAGAGACUAAAAGCAGAAAUAAUGAAAGCUUAAAAGAUUCAUACCUCCUUCCCCAAAGAAGCUGGUUUUAUAUCAGAGGUGAGAUUGAGGUUCACCAGACCAUACUUUUAAAUCCAAGUAGAUGCCUCAGACUGAUAGAUCUGAGCUUGUUCUCGAGGGGCUAAAGAUCAGCAGUUGCAUUGAGUCACAAUGAAGAAAUAAACUUUCAUGCAGCCUUUGUGGUAAAUGAGAUCAGGAAUCACAGCUGCACUAAAGGACCUAGUGAAAAACAACAGGAAGGCUGGCUAAUAUCCAGCAGCCCAUCAAGCGGGUACCAUCUCAACAUGGGGAAGUAAUGGUCUGCAGGACCUGCUAUGUGCAAAAUCUUGGUAUGGGCAAAAAGAAACCCACCCUAUCUGUAAAGUCACACAAAAUUUAUUCUUAGUGUAACUGCAACCUUAGCAGUCUAAUCAAAGAAGUAUUAUUAGUCCAGAUCUAAUUAUUGCAGAAAAGAAAGGAAAGAAAUUGUAUAGAAAGUCUCAAUAGUAACAGUAGAGUUAAAAUUGUUAUGCGCUCACUACCUGCCCCUUCUCCUGGUGUCAUGCUUACCCUUUCACCUCCCUCUAGCUCCUAAGACUGAUGGCUUUCAUCUGGUGAAGAGAGAAUGGUGGGUCAUCAGCAUCCAGAGCCCUGUGCCUGUAGGAGUAUGAUGUUGGUGCUUGCGGUUUCUUCUUUCUCUCCUUUUUUUCCCUCUUUUGGAAAUAGCUCUCACCUGGGACUAUUUUUACACGUUUUCUAUUAAAGUUUUACACUUUGCCUUUUCUU